Rhododendron vialii is the source of this 2450-nucleotide long non-coding RNA. RefSeq lists it as uncharacterized. The record is from RefSeq and is a predicted model, not a curated record. The transcript has 2 exons. Lineage: Eukaryota; Viridiplantae; Streptophyta; Magnoliopsida; Ericales; Ericaceae.
CUCCCGGUUACCUUUGACUGAAAAUCACGCCCUAAUCUUUUGCCCCUCCUCCCUCCCUCCUCUCUCUCCUCACGCCUCCACAGCCGAAAACUCCACGGCUCCCAAACGCAGCUCCACGGCUCCUCAGUAGCUCCCUAACGCAGACACUCCCAGACGCCUUUCAACAAUGGUGGAAACCUCCAUAGCUCCUACACCUCCUGACCUCCACAGCCCAGGGCCACACUACAACAAAUAGUGGCAACAAUAGCAGUCCUUGAGUUGAAGGACACGGAAAGAAGCGGAGGAUGAAAUUACAGCGUUUCGUUAAAAUCUUCCAUAGCGUUCCGCCCAAAAUCAAAGCGCCAAAUCUCUUUCCGCUCAAAAUUCGUUCGGUGCGCUUCUGAAAUUUCAAUCGAUUCCUUGAUUGGCGCCCCACUCUAUUCAUGUGAACCGGUGUUACUCUCUUAUGGAUUCAUUUCUAGUUAAGCUAGGGUGAAUCGAGAGUUCUUCUUCCGCCCAAAGGUUUGUUCUUUUUUCUCUCUUUUCCAAAAUCUGUACGUCAUACGUGGUCCUUACUAACAAUCACAUUUUUUCCCUCUUUCGUACUCGGAGAAGAAUCAAAAGCCAUUGUUUGAUUUUUUGCACCAGUUGAAGCAAAGAAUCAUUGUCCACGGAAGCCAUCACCACCCGAAAUCACUAAUCCAGUGCUAAAAAACCCUUAAAAACCCCAACCCAGCCCUCAGAAUCACAAAGUCUUUCAUUGGCUUAUCUAACCACAUUGUAAUCCCCUAGUUGAACCCAGGGAGAUGCACCAAUACAAGAAGAAAUAAGCCUUUAAGUCCUGCCAAAGGUUUCUCCUAUCCACAAAACCAUUCAUACCAUACACUACAGAAACAUAAAACCACUGCUGAGGAUGCAAGAACUCCACCUUCGCAGUAAUCAACUGAGAAGAUCCCACCCAAGAAUGAUUCUAGCAACCUUGUCAUUCCCCCUAUUGUGAACAGCAUAUUGAGAGGAGGGAAAACAAUGCCUAACAGUUGCAUCAAAAAAUUCUUGACGAACUUUAGAUUCCACAACACCAAACAUACAAAGCUUAUGAAACUUAAUGAAAGAGAGUACCUCCUUCUGCUUUGAGGGGUUAUUGAGGCCCCUUAUAUCCACACACCUAUUUUAUUCAUUUGAAGGGUUUAACCUUCCUACCCCCACCCUUAGUUCUACCACCCUUAGGAGUAGAAACAGUUACAAUUGCAGAAAUGGAAGCACCUGUGACAAUAGUUUCACCCUUAUCUUCUGCACCAACAUCCAGCAAUGAAGAAAACUUACUUAUUCCCAACACAUUUUGGCUUCUUGGCCUCUCACCUACACUAGAGGCAGGCACCCAUCUACUCCUUUUUCCUUGCCCAAAGUAGACAUAGCACCAUUAAAGUAGCCUCCACCCUUCUCAGAAAUAAUCAGCUGGUUACCCAUUGGAAUACCACCAUCCCUAACUGACUAGAAUGCUCAGCUUGACCCACCCCAGAAGCUUCCUUAGUUACAGAAACACUCACGCAACCCAGAUCCCUCAACUCCUCAGCAUCUGGUAGUUUUGGUAUGCCUUGAGAGAUUCCAUCAAUAGUACCAGGAUAGCCACCACAUGCCCACCAGAAGCAUUCUGUUGAAUCAGAUUCUUAACAAUUGGAAUCUGUACACCAGUAUGGGGCCUUGCCACUACCACCAUCUUGGACGGUCCCAACCCCUUGUAGAAGAGCUGCCACUUCAAUUUUCUUGGGACAAACCAUAUCCACAUGACCAAACCUAUUACACACCUGACAUUUUAGAGGUUUCCAAGGAUAUCAAAUGCCCACAUGAGCAACAUCCCCAUUCUAAAAUCGCACUUCAACAGAUUCAGGCAUGGUGGAAUUCACAUCCACCUCCACACAUGUACUAGCAUAGUUCAGCCGCUUACCAGAUUCUGUAAGUUUAUCAGCAUAGAGGGGCUUUCCAAUAGAGCUAGCCACAUAACCCCUUAGCAGUCCAGAGCUCAAGGGGAACAUUGUAAAAGUGUACUCAAACAGGAAUUUUCAUGAUCUCCUCCUUUUCCAGCUUCAUAUGAGGGUGCCAGUGCUUAAGCAUCAUCAUUUUGCCCACAGAAAACCAAGGACCAGACUCCAAAAGUUUCUGUAGCCCACCCUCCUGAUUGAACAGGAAGAAGAAGAAACCUUCAUUAUUAUAUCAUACUUAUGGGUGUUGUUUUAUUAUUUUAGAUCAUACAAGGUACAGUUAUCUAUUUUGAUAUUGACGUCUAGUUGAGGCUCAAGGUAAUUUUCAAUGUCAAUUGUUGGUUAAUUUGUUUGGUUGAUUUGUAAUUUAUAUGAUUAUGAUAGCAUUCACAAUGCAUUCAUUUUUCUUAUUGGUUUAUCCGAUUGUGUGUGUGUGUAACAUUUUUACACGUGUAAUUUAUGAAUUUGGUUUAAAGAAUUUAACGUCAAGGG